UACGUAGGGGGCAAGCGUUGUCCGGAAUUAUUGGGCGUAAAGAGCGCGUAGGCGGUCCGAUAAGUCGGCUGUGAAAGUCCAGGGCUCAACCCUGGAAAGCCGGCCGAUACUGUCGGACUAGAGUCCGGAAGAGGCGAGUGGAAUUCCCGGUGUAGCGGUGAAAUGCGCAGAUAUCAGGAGGAACACCGGUGGCGAAGGCGGUUCUCUGGGCCUUACCUGACGCUGAGGAGCGAAAGCGUGGGGAGCGAACAGG
This 253-nucleotide ribosomal RNA is filed under the name uncultured bacterium. RNAcentral describes it as "partial 16S ribosomal RNA". It matches the Rfam family "Bacterial small subunit ribosomal RNA", at positions 524 to 776 of the family's 1533-position model. The record is from RNAcentral.